CCUACGGGCGGCAGCAGUGGGGAAUAUUGCGCAAUGGGCGAAAGCCUGACGCAGCGACGCCGCGUGAGGGAUGAAGGUCUUCGGAUCGUAAACCUCUGUCAGCAGGGAAGAACGGUCACUGUGCUAAUCAGCAGUGAAUUGACGGUACCUGCAAAGGAAGCACCGGCGAACUCCGUGCCAGCAGCCGCGGUAAUACGGAGGGUGCGAGCGUUAAUCGGAAUUACUGGGCGUAAAGCGCUCGUAGGCGGUAUGUCAAGUCAAGGGUGAAAUCCCCGCGCUCAACGUGGGAACUGCCUUUGAAACUGGCAGACUGGAGUGUGUGAGAGGAUAGUGGAAUUCGAGGUGUAGGAGUGAAAUCCGUAGAUAUCUGGAGGAACAUCAGUGGCGAAGGCGACUAUCUGGCACAUAACUGACGCUGAGGAGCGAAAGCGUGGGUAGCAAACAGGAUUAGAUACCCCAGUAGUC
Molecule: ribosomal RNA, 465 nt
Filed under: uncultured bacterium
Lineage: Bacteria
Description: partial 16S ribosomal RNA
Rfam family: Bacterial small subunit ribosomal RNA
Source: RNAcentral